This 426-nucleotide ribosomal RNA is filed under the name uncultured bacterium. RNAcentral describes it as "bacterial SSU rRNA". It matches the Rfam family "Bacterial small subunit ribosomal RNA", at positions 356 to 773 of the family's 1533-position model. The record is from RNAcentral.
GGGGAAUCUUGCGCAAUGGGCGCAAGCCUGACGCAGCAACGCCGCGUGUGUGAUGAAGGUCUUCGGAUCGUAAAGCACUGUCGGGAGGGACGAAUAAGGGCCGGGUGAACAAUCCGGCGCGAUGACGGUACCUCCAAAGGAAGCACCGGCUAACUCUGUGCCAGCAGCCGCGGUAAUACAGAGGGUGCAAGCGUUGUUCGGAAUUAUUGGGCGUAAAGCGCGUGUAGGCGGUCUCGCAAGUCGGAUGUGAAAGCCCUCGGCUUAACCGAGGAAGUGCGUUCGAAACUACGAGACUUGAGUACCGGAGAGGGUGGCGGAAUUCCCGGUGUAGAGGUGAAAUUCGUAGAUAUCGGGAGGAACACCAGUGGCGAAGGCGGCCACCUGGACGGCUACUGACGCUGAGACGCGAAAGCGUGGGGAGCAAAC